This 155-nucleotide microRNA precursor is filed under the name Malus domestica (apple). Its description in RNAcentral is "miR482a stem-loop (mdm-MIR482a)". Its record names the gene mdm-MIR482a. Lineage: Eukaryota; Viridiplantae; Streptophyta; Magnoliopsida; Rosales; Rosaceae. The record is from miRBase by way of RNAcentral.
GAGAAGAGGGAAAGGGAGAUUGGAGCUGCUGGAAGUUUUAGGAAUGGGCUGUUUGGGAAGAARGAAAAUUACAAGAAUAAUUGUCUUGUGGGGUUUCUUCCCAAGCCCGCCCAUUCCUAUGAUUUCCAGCUGUUCCUCCCUUUCCCUUGUAUCUC